GGACUACAGGGGUUUCUAAUCCUGUUUGCUCCCCACGCUUUCGCGCCUCAGCGUCAGUCAAGGACCAGGUCGCCGCCUUCGCCACCGGUGUUCUUCCCAAUAUCUACGAAUUUCACCUCUACACUGGGAAUUCCACGACCCUCUUCCUCACUCAAGUCUGCACGUAUCAAAUGCAGCCCCCAGGUUAAGCCCAGGAAUUUCACAUCUGACUGUACAAACCGCCUACGCGCCCUUUACGCCCAGUCAUUCCGAGCAACGCUAGCCCCCUUCGUAUUACCGCGGCUGCUGGCAC
This 292-nucleotide ribosomal RNA is filed under the name uncultured Alphaproteobacteria bacterium. RNAcentral's name for it is "partial 16S ribosomal RNA". The record is from RNAcentral. Lineage: Bacteria; Pseudomonadati; Pseudomonadota; Alphaproteobacteria.